RNAcentral lists this ribosomal RNA (500 nucleotides) under uncultured Anaerolineaceae bacterium. RNAcentral's name for it is "bacterial SSU rRNA". It matches the Rfam family "Bacterial small subunit ribosomal RNA", at positions 8 to 523 of the family's 1533-position model. The record is from RNAcentral. Lineage: Bacteria; Bacillati; Chloroflexota; Anaerolineae; Anaerolineales; Anaerolineaceae.
AGAGUUUGAUCCUGGCUCAGGAUGAACGCUGGCGGCGUGCCUAAUACAUGCAAGUCGAACGGAGAUAUUGUAGCAAUACGGUAUCUUAGUGGCGAACGGGUGAGUAACGCGUUGGUGACCUGCCCCGAAGAGGGGGAUAACAGUCCGAAAGGAUUGCUAAUACCCCAUGUGGUCCUGGGUUUUAGAACCCCAUGACUAAAGGUGUAAAUCACUUCGGGAGGGGCCUGCGUCCCAUCAGCUAGUUGGUAAGGUAAUGGCUUACCAAGGCGACGACGGGUAGGGGACCUGAGAGGGUGGCCCCCCACAAUGGAACUGAAACACGGUCCAUACACCUACGGGUGGCAGCAGUAGGGAAUAUUAGUUAAUGUGCGAAAGCGCGAACUAGCAACGCCGCGUGUGCGAUGAAGGUCUUCGGAUCGUAAAGCACUUUUCGAGAAGAUGAGGAAGGACAGUACUCUCGGAAUAAGUCUCGGCUAACUACGUGCCAGCAGCCGCGGUAA